GGAACAAUAAAAAGUCAAGCCACCUAGGGGACUCGAACCCCUGACCUUAAGAUUAAAAGUCUCACGCUCUACCAACUGAGCUAAGGAGGCCC
This 92-nucleotide transfer RNA is filed under the name Caenorhabditis elegans. RNAcentral's name for it is "Unclassified non-coding RNA E03E2.2". Lineage: Eukaryota; Metazoa; Nematoda; Chromadorea; Rhabditida; Rhabditidae. The record is from RNAcentral.